CUCCUUUGACGUUAGCGGCGGACGGGUGAGUAACACGUGGGUAACCUACCUAUAAGACUGGGAUAACUUCGGGAAACCGGAGCUAAUACCGGAUAAUAUUUCGAACCGCAUGGUUCGAUAGUGAAAGGUGGUUUUGCUAUCACUUAUAGAUGGACCCGCGCCGUAUUAGCUAGUUGGUAAGGUAACGGCUUACCAAGGCUACGAUACGUAGCCGACCUGAGAGGGUGAUCGGCCACACUGGAACUGAGACACGGUCCAGACUCCUACGGGAGGCAGCAGCC
Molecule: ribosomal RNA, 281 nt
Filed under: uncultured Staphylococcus sp.
Lineage: Bacteria; Bacillati; Bacillota; Bacilli; Caryophanales; Staphylococcaceae
Description: partial 16S ribosomal RNA
Rfam family: Bacterial small subunit ribosomal RNA
Source: RNAcentral